UGAUUGCAGAGGGACACUGUGACGGACUUUGGAUCGGCCUGAGGCAGGGGGACUCCAGAAGGUCAAGCCCUUCUUCCACCGCAGUCUGAAGAUGAGCCAUGCCAGAAGCCUGCAGUACAGCAACAGAAGUCCACUUUGAGUCUUUUCCCUCUCACAGACGGAUCUGCAUGGAGCCAUUCAGGACAAGGAGAGAGGUAUGAACUCCUCUUCCUCUUUUUGGGUGGAACUGCUAAGCCUCUCCAGUUUUCAACAGCUUCUUCAUCUAUUGGAUGGAUUUUUGUGACAGUGUCAGACUUCCCAGAGCAGGAAGCAUCCAUCUCUGGCCUUCCAUCUAUCCUGCAGGUUGUGAAAAAAUAUGCAUGUUGCCUUCAAUGAAGGACAGAUGUCGAGCAAUGAAUCGAUCCACUCGAAUAGGCAAGUGUUCAUGCUUGAUGUUUUUAAACUCGGCUUCGACAUUGGCUGAACUUCACUUGCAGUGAUUUUGGAGCUCCGGAAGUGAGGGAUUACUACCCUGAGAGAGGUCCGCACCCUCUACAUCUGGAAUGAUGACACCCUCUUCUGCAAUUCGGGCUUUUAGGUUUUUGAACAACAAAAAAAUGGCACUUGGAACGAAAGUUGUUUCACUUUGUGCGCAAACCAGCAGAAGGGGG
Long non-coding RNA from Esox lucius (northern pike), 650 nucleotides. NCBI's taxonomy places the organism in Eukaryota, Metazoa, Chordata, Actinopteri, Esociformes, Esocidae. The record is from Ensembl.